GAUGAACGCUGGCGGCGUGCCUAAUACAUGCAAGUCGAGCGAACAGACGAGGAGCUUGCUCCUCUGACGUUAGCGGCGGACGGGUGAGUAACACGUGGAUAACCUACCUAUAAGACUGGGAUAACUUCGGGAAACCGGAGCUAAUACCGGAUAAUAUAUUGAACCGCAUGGUUCAAUAGUGAAAGACGGUUUUGCUGUCACUUAUAGAUGGAUCCGCGCCGCAUUAGCUAGUUGGUAAGGUAACGGCUUACCAAGGCAACGAUGCGUAGCCGACCUGAGAGGGUGAUCGGCCACACUGGAACUGAGACACGGUCCAGACUCCUAAGGGAGGCAGCAGUAGGGAAUCUUCCGCAAUGGGCGAAAGCCUGACGGGGCAACGCCGCGUGAGUGAUGAAGGUCUUCGGAUCGUAAAACUCUGUUAUUAGGGAAGAACAAAUGUGUAAGUAACUAUGCACGUCUUGACGGUACCUAAUCAGAAAGCCACGGCUAACUACGUG
This 497-nucleotide ribosomal RNA is filed under the name uncultured bacterium. RNAcentral's name for it is "partial 16S ribosomal RNA". It matches the Rfam family "Bacterial small subunit ribosomal RNA", at positions 28 to 507 of the family's 1533-position model. The record is from RNAcentral.